AGGAUAGAGGCCUACCAUGGUGGUAACGGGUAACGGGGUGUUAGGGCACGACACCGGAGAGGGAGCCUGAGAAACGGCUACCACAUCCAAGGAUGGCAGCAGGCGCGCAAAUUACCCAAUCCCGACACGGGGAGGUAGUGACAAUAAAUAACAAUACGGGGUUCUUUAGGAUCUCGUAAUUGGAAUGAGUACAAUUUAAAUCUCUUAACGAGGAACAAUUGGAGGGCAAGUCUGGUGCCAGCAGUCGCGGUAAUUCCAGCUCCAAUAGCGUAUAUUAAAGUUGUUGCAGUUAAAAAGCUCGUAGUUGAAUUUCGGGGUUAGUAGGUUGGUCAUGCCUCUGGUAUGUACUGGUCUCACUGAUUCCUCCUUCCUUAUGAACCGUAAUGCCAUUAAUUUGGUGUUGCGGGGAAUUUGGACUGUUACUUUGAAAAAAUUAGAGUGUUUAAAGCAAGCUAACGCUUGAAUACAUUAGCAUGGAAUAAUGAAAUAGGACGUUCGAUCUUAUUUUGUUGGUUUCUAGGAUUGACGUAAUGAUUAAUAGGGAUAGUUGGGGGCAUUAGUAUUCAAUUGUCAGAGGUGAAAUUCUUGGAUUUAUUGAAGACUAACUACUGCGAAAGCAUUUGCCAAGGAUGUAUUCAUUAAUCAAGAACGAAAGUUAGGGGAUCGAA
RNAcentral lists this ribosomal RNA (668 nucleotides) under uncultured fungus. Its description in RNAcentral is "SSU rRNA". It matches the Rfam family "Eukaryotic small subunit ribosomal RNA", at positions 330 to 1002 of the family's 1831-position model. The record is from RNAcentral. Lineage: Eukaryota; Fungi.